This 547-nucleotide long non-coding RNA is filed under the name Podarcis muralis (Common wall lizard). Its description in RNAcentral is "lncRNA (ENSPMRG00000018445.1)". Lineage: Eukaryota; Metazoa; Chordata; Lepidosauria; Squamata; Lacertidae. The record is from RNAcentral.
CCCAGUUCCAGGUGACAGCUGGUCCAAGGGUCUCUACUCCACCUUGAUGAUGGAGAACAUGAGGCUGCGAGACGAACUGGGCAAGUCUUCCUACUAUCGUUCCCCCAUCAUAUUGCAGCAGCAAGCACUACCGGAUACGUUUUCCAACAGCAACGAAAAGCUCUCUUUGAUUUCCAAACUGGAGAGGGCAGAGGCUCGCAUCAAUGCCUUGGAGUACCAGGUAAGGGGCCUCUUUUUAACCUUCGCAUCCGUUGGCAUGAAUUCCAGCUCUACGCUAUCCUUUUUGAGACAAGGCAACCAGAACAGUGCACAAGUUUGUCACAGGGAUUGUCUGUCCUCUCUGCCACAGCUGGAGGAGUCUUCCAGGAAAUGGGGGCGAGAGAAGCAGGACUACAGCGCCCGACUUCUGGAGCGCGAUCUUGGAUUGGACCUGUCACCAACCCCUCUACUCUUAGGGGACACGUUGCUGGAUGAGAAGGAAGGGAGAGGAGAUGAAGAGCAGAAGAACGCAAAGAUAUAUGGAGUGAAGGCGAGUGCCCCAAAGUAG